This 424-nucleotide ribosomal RNA is filed under the name uncultured bacterium. RNAcentral describes it as "bacterial SSU rRNA". It matches the Rfam family "Bacterial small subunit ribosomal RNA", at positions 917 to 1345 of the family's 1533-position model. The record is from RNAcentral.
GGGCCCGCACAAGCGGUGGAGUAUGUGGUUUAAUUCGAUGCAACGCGAAGAACCUUACCAGGGCUUAAAUGCAGAGCGACAGAGGUGGAAACACCUCCUUCUUCGGACGGUCUGCAAGGUGCUGCAUGGUUGUCGUCAGCUCGUGCUGUGAAGUGUCGGGUUAAGUCCCAUAACGAGCGCAACCCCUAUUUCUAGUUGCCAGCGGUUCGGCCGGGGACUCUAGAGAAACUGCCAGCGUAAGCUGUGAGGAAGGUGGGGAUGACGUCAAAUCAUCACGGCCCUUACGUCCUGGGCCACACACGUGCUACAAUGGUAAGGACAGAGAGUUGCCAACCCGCGAGGGUGAGCUAAUCUUUAAACCUUAUCUCAGUUCGGAUCGAAGUCUGCAACUCGACUUCGUGAAGUUGGAAUCGCUAGUAAUCGC